This 418-nucleotide ribosomal RNA is filed under the name uncultured bacterium. Its description in RNAcentral is "partial 16S ribosomal RNA". It matches the Rfam family "Bacterial small subunit ribosomal RNA", at positions 364 to 774 of the family's 1533-position model. The record is from RNAcentral.
UUGCGCAAUGGGCGAAAGCCUGACGCAGCCAUGCCGCGUGAAUGAAGAAGGUCUUCGGAUUGUAAAGCACUCUAAGUUGGGAGGAAGAGUUGUAGGCUAAUACCUGGCAAUUUUGACGUUACCAACAGAAUAAGCACCGGCUAACUUCGUGCCAGCAGCCGCGGUAAUACGAAGGGUGCAAGCGUUAAUCGGAAUUACUGGGCGUAAAGCGCGCGUAGGUGGUUCGUUAAGUUGGAAGUGAAAGCCCCGGGCUUAACCUGGGAAUUGCUUUCAAAACUGACGAGCUAGAGUACGGUAGAGGGUAGUGGAAUUUCCUGUGUAGCGGUGAAAUGCGUAGAUAUAGGAAGGAACAUCAGUGGCGAAGGCGACUACCUGGACUGAUACUGACACUGAGGUGCGAAAGCGUGGGGAGCAAACA